CUUCGGAGGAGUUAGCGAAAUUCCAAUGUGUGCGUAUCGGCAAAAAAUGCGGAAUAACCCUUUAACUGUACAUUUGACAGAUACGCGCGCUUGGACUUUUUUGUAGAUCUUAUUGAGUUACAUGUGUGUGUCAAUUUUUGUGUCAUUUUGACAAAGCGUAUAGGCGUGACACUCAACAAUGUGUAUUUUCACCUUAGGGGACAAGAAAAAAUGGACUUUUUUCUCCUGCCAUGGGGGGGCGCUCUUUUGGGGAGUAAAAAUUCCUUCACAAAUGUGUUGAUGGCUGGACAUUGCAUCAUCCUAGAAAACUUGGAGGCCAGUGAGGACAAAAAUAAAAAGUUAUAAGACUUUUAAAUAUGUGGAUUUUAGUGUUAUCUUUGGCGCCCCCUAGAACCUAAACCUUGGGGUGCAGCGUCAUGAUUUUGAUAACUUUUAAUGGCCACGGGGUGUAGAUUGGCCUGAGCAAAUGUGGUGCCGGUGGAACGAAAGCCUUCGGAGGAGUUAGCGAAAUUCCAAUGUGUGCGGAUCGGCAAAAAAUGCGAAAUAACCCUUUAACCGUAAUUUUGACAGAUACGGCCGCACUGACUUUUUUGUAGAUCUUAUUGAGAUACAUAUGUGUGUCAAUUUUUGUGUCAAUAUGACAAAGCGUACAGGCGUGACAGUCAAUAGUGUGAAUUUCCACCUUAGGGGGCGCUAUGGAGCCAUUUUGAAUUUUAUUGUUUGGGCGACUUCAGAAUAUCGAAUUUUUCACCAGGCCCGGUCGUCCUGCCAAAUUUCAUGAGUUUUCGCCAGUGGGAAGUGGGCCAUUUUCCAGUUCAAAGGGGAGGAAAAAGAAGAAACUAGGGCCCCGUUGGGGCACUGGCGGGCCCGAGCCGUGUCACGCCGCCCCCAGCGCGACCGCCUCCCCCACCCGAUCGCGUCACACUCAAGGUCCAAAGAUGGUGUGCGCACUUGUUUGUGGUCAUUUACCAUUAUAAUGAACGGGAGGCGCAGUUUCUACCAAAACGCUCGCUGCAGAAAAACUCCAUGUCCUAUUUGAAAAAAGUCUGGACCAUGAGUGAGGGCACAAACACAGCUAAGAUAUAUCCAAAUGGCAAGUUGCUCCUCCUUUCGCUUUUGCCGAGAGAGCAGUGCGUUUGAGCCAUUGAAUGAUGAACAGGAAAAACUUGACUUUAUUCUCCUGCCAUGGGGGGCGCUCUUUUAAAGAGAAAAAACUCCUUCACAAAUGUGUUGAUGGCUGGACAUUGCAUCAUCCUAGAAAACAUGGAGGCCAGUGAGGACAAAAAUAAAAAUUUAUAAGACUUUUAAAUAUGUGGAUUUUAGGGUUAUCUUUGGCGCCCCUUAGAACCUAAACCGUGGGGUGCAGCGUCAUGAUUUGAAUAACUUUUAAUGGCCAUGGGGUGUAGAUUGGCCUGAGCAAAUGUGGUGCCGGUGGAACGAAAGCCUUCGGAGAAAUUAGCGAAAUUCCAAUGUGUGCGAAUCUGCAAAAAAUGCGAAAUAACCCUUUAACCGUACAUUUUACAGAUACGUGGCCAUUGACUUUUUCGAAGAUCUUAUUGAAAUACACGUGUAUGUAAAAUUUUGUGUCAAUACGACAAAACAUACAGGCGUAGCACUCAACAAUGUGUAUUUUCACCUUAGUGGACAAGAAAAAAUGGACUUUUUUCUCCUGCCAUGGGGGGGCGCUCUUUUGCCGAGUAAAAAUUCCUUCACAAAUGUGUUGAUGGCUGGACAUUGCAUCAUCCUAGAAAACUUGGAGGCCAGUGGGGACAAAAAUAAAAAGUUAUAAGACUUUUAAAUAUGUGGAUUUUACGGUUAUCUUUGGCUCCCCCUAGAACCUAAACCGUGGGGUGCAGCGUCAUGAUUUGAAUAACUUUUAAUGGCCAUGGGGUGUAGAUUGGCCUGAGCAAAUGUGGUGCCGGUGGAACGAAAGCCUUCGGAGGAGUUAGCGAAAUUCCAAUGUGUGCGGAUCGGCAAAAAAUGCGGAAUAACCCUUUAACCGUACAUUUGACAGAUACGCGCGCAUUGACUUUUUCGUAGAUCUUAUUGAGAUACAUGUGUGUGUCAAUUUUUGUGUCAUUUUGCCAAAGCGUACAGGUGUUACACUCAACAAUGUGUAUUUUCACCUUAGGGGACAAGAAAAAAUGGACUUUUUUCUCCUGCCAUGGGGGGCGCUCUUUUGGGGAGUAAAAAUUCCUUCACAAAUGUGUUGAUGGCUGGACAUUGCAUCAUCCUAGAAAACUUGGAGGCCAGUGAGGGCAAAAAUAAAAAGUUAUAAGACUUUUAAAUAUGUGGAUCUUAGGGUUAUCUUUGGCGCCCCCUAGAACCUAAACCGUGGGGUGCAGCGUCAUGAUUUGAAUAACUUUUAAUGGCCAUGGGGUGUAGAUUGGCCUGAGCAAAUGUGGUGCCGGUGGAACGAAAAGCCUUCGGAGGAGUUAGCGAAAUUCCAAUGUGUGCGGAUCGGCAAAAAAUGCGGAAUAACCCUUUAACCGUACAUUUGACAGAUACGCGCGCAUUGACUUUUUUGUAGAUCUUAUUGAGAUACAUGUGUGUGUCAAUUUUUGUGUCAUUUUGCCAAAGCGUACAGGUGUUACACUCAACAAUGUGUAUUUUCACCUUAGGGGACAAGAAAAAAUGGACUUUUUUCUCCUGCCAUGGGGGGGCGCUCUUUUGGGGAGUAAAAAUUCCUUCACAAAUGUGUUGAUGGCUGGACAUUGCAUCAUCCUAGAAAACUUGGAGGCCAGUGAGGGCAAAAAUAAAAAGUUAUAAGACUUUUAAAUAUGUGGAUCUUAGGGUUAUCUUUGGCGCCCCCUAGAACCUAAACCGUGGGGUGCAGCGUCAUGAUUUGAAUAACUUUUAAUGGCCAUGGGGUGUAGAUUGGCCUGAGCAAAUGUGGUGCCGGUGGAACGAAAGCCUUCGGAGGAGUUAGCGAAAUUCCAAUGUGUGCGGAUCGGCAAAAAAUGCGAAAUAACCCUUUAACCGUACAUUUGACAGAUACGCCCGCACUGACUUUUUUGUAGAUCUUAUUGAGAUACAUGUGUGUGUCAAUUUUUGUGUCAUUUGGACAAAGCGUACCGGCGUGACAGUGAAUAGUGUGAAUUUUCACCUUAGGGGGCGCUAUGGAGCCAUUUUGCAUUUUCUUGUUUGGGCGACUUCGGAAUAUCAAAUUUUUCACCAGGCCCGGUCGUCCUGCCAAAUUUCAUGAGUUUUCGCCAGUGGGAAGUGGGCCAUUUUCCAGUUCAAAGGGGAGGAAAAAUAACUAGGACCCCGUUGGGGCACUGGCGGGCCCGAGCCUUGUCGGAUGGAGCUUUGGAUGGAGCUUCAUGGUUGUCUUUUGGAGAAAUGACCAGUCAAGUUGUGUUUGAAAUUUGAUUUUUUUUUCAGGGGCAAAAGGAGCCUCUGCAUUCUUGUCAAAUAUGUAAAUAGCAUGUUUUUGCAGGUGCUAAAAACCAGACUCUGAGUGUGUGUGUGUGUGUGUGUGUGUGUGUGUGUGUGUGUGUGUGUGUGUGUGUGUGUGCGUGUGUGUGUGUCUGUGUGUGCGUUCAAGUCACAUGACAUAUUUAACCGGAUGUAGCUGCAAGACGGAGCCUCGUUGACUCUCCGUUUCAACUUAUCUCAAAAGUGAGGACCUCAACCUAUAUACCAGUUUUUAAAUUGUGUUGAUAGGCCAAAUAAAACCAGAGUUAUGAUAAAUUAUGUCCGCGAUACUUUUUUUCUGCUUAUUUUGAUCACGUUCGGCGCUCGAUCGCGCUGUAUGAGACAGGAAAACAUAGCAUGCACACAUUAGCGACAGGUCUUACAGGCGGAAAAGGCUUGCCAAAAGAAAAAAAAAACACACCACAACAUCUCUCCUAUUGGUGGAAAACUUCACCACAACAACCAAUCCAAAAUUAUAUGGUGACUGAUUGACAAGGGGAGGGCGCUUACGUUCUUCCUGCAACAUGAGAAGGGAGGGAGGGACUCUCAGCAGGGAUGCAGUCUGGGACACGUAGUUGCAAACCUAGCGACUUUGUUGUUAGAUUCAAUGACUUUUCAGACCCCCUAACGACUUUUUUUUUUAGAAAGAAAGGGACUUUUAUCGACUUCUUCUGGAGUUUAGAGACUCUGACAUGAAGCAGGCUUUCCUUACUGAGGAGUUAGCAACGCUGCUAAGGGUGCAGAGCCACACAUGCGCUCAGAGCUCUGCAUGGGAGACUGAAGCUGACAGAGCUGCAGCAGUUAGCAGGUUUCACCCUCAGAGACCACCAGGGGUUCAUGUUGAGGCAUUUUAAUUUUUUUUUUUUUUUGUGCCAUAGACACUGUCAGCACAAUCUGCAGUUACACUAACAAAAAUGCUGCAAAAAACAAAGAAUUAUGGAAAAAUUACACAUGGACUGACAUAGAGGAGGAUCUACACAAGUUUUUUACAUCAUGUUUUACAUCAUGCAUCAUUUACAUCAUGUUUUUUUGUAGUGGCAUAAAUAAAAAGUGACAUUUGUGAGACUAUACAGUGUUUUGUAAAUAAUUUUGCAAAGAACGCCUGGGCCAUUGCCUGCAUUUUGAUGUAAAUAGAGGUAAAUUACUAUGUUCUUUGUUAAAAAUUUGCAUAUGUUUUGAAGUUUACAAUUUUUAUUUGAAGUUUAAGUUUUAAAAACAGUUCAUCACACAUAUUUGUGGUUUAAUUUCACAUUAAUUUCCAUAUUGUAUAAAUGACUGGAAAAAACUUGAGCCCCUGCCCCUGUAUAAUCAUGUGCACGUCCCUGUUCUAGCUCCAAGGUGAAUCUUCACUGCUCAUGUUCUCCUCAGAAAUAGUCACCUCACUCCCCUCAGGUUACUGUACACAUGCACCAACUAUCUGCUUCAGGUUUGAAAUGGAGCUUCAUGGUUGUCUUUUGGAGAAAUGAACAGUCAAGUUGUGUUUGAAAUUUGAUUUUUUUCAGGGGCAAAAGGAAGCCUCUGCAUUCUUGUCAAAUAUGUAAACAGCAUGUUUUUGCAGGUGCUAAAAAACAGACUCUGAGUGUGUGUGUGUGUCUGUGUGUGUGUGUGUCUGUGUGUGUGUGUAUGUUGGCGUGUGUGUAUAUGUGUGUGUAUCCUGCAGUACUCUGUACUCCUGCAGUGGCCAAAAAAACCUUUUAAGAAUGUGGAUUUUUGGGUCAUCUUUGGCGCCCCCUAGAACUGCAGUACUCUGUACUCCUGCAGUGGCCAAAAUGACUUUUAAGAAUGUGGAUUUUUGGGUCAUCUUUGGCGCCCCCUAGAACGUAAACCGUGGGGUGCAGCGUCAUGAUUUUUACAACUUUGAAUGGGCAUGGGGUGUAGAUUGCCCUGAGCAAAUUUGGUAUCGGUGGGACGAAAGCCUUAGGAGGAGAUAGCCACAUUCCAAUGUGUGCGAAUCGGCAAAAAAUGCAAAAUAGCCCUUUAACCGUACAUUAUAAAGAUACGCGCUCUUUGACUUUUUCGUAGAUCUAAUUGAGAUACACAUGAUUGUCAAUUUUUGUGUCAAUAUGACAAAGCGUUCAGGCGUGACACUCAACAAUGUGUAUUUUCAUGUAAGGGGACAAGAAAAAAUGGACUUUUUUCUCCUACCAUGGGGGGGCGCUCUUUUGGGGAGUAAAAAUUCCUUCACAAAUGUGUUGAUGGCUGGACAUUGCAUCAUCCUAGAGAACUUGGAGGCCAGUGAGGACAAAAAUAAAAAGUUAUAAAACAUUUAAGAAUGUGGAUUUUUGGGUUAUUUUUGGCGCCCCCUAGAACCUAAACCAUGGGGUGCAGCAUCAUGAUUUGAAUAACUUUUAAUGGCCAUGGGGUGUAGAUUGGCCUGAGCAAAUGUGGUGCCGGUGGAACGAAAGCCUUCGGAGGAGUUAGCGAAAUUCCAAUGUGUGCGUAUCGGUAAAAAAUGCGGAAUAACCCUUUAACUGUACAUUUGACAGAUACGCGCGCAUGGACUUUUUUGUAGAUCUUAUUGAGUUACAUGUGUGUGUCAAUUUUUGUGUCAUUUUGACAAAGCGUAUAGGCGUGACACUCAAGAAUGUGUAUUUUCACCUUAGGGGACAAGAAAAAAUGGACUUUUUUCUCCUGCCAUGGGGGGGGCGCUCUUUUGGGGAGUAAAAAUUCCUUCACAAAUGUGUUGAUGGCUGGACAUUGCAUCAUCCUAGAAAACUUGGAGGCUAGUGAGGACAAAAAUAAAAAGUUAUAAGACUUUUAAAUAUGUGGAUUUUAGUGUUAUCUUUGGCGCCCCCUAGAACCUAAACCUUGGGGUGCAGCGUCAUGAUUUUGAUAACUUUUAAUGGCCACGGGGUGUAGAUUGGCCUGAGCAAAUGUGGUGCCGGUGGAACGAAAGCCUUCGGAGGAGUUAGCGAAAUUCCAAUGUGUGCGGAUCGGCAAAAAAUGCGAAAUAACCCUUUGACCGUACAUUUGACAGAUACGGCCGCACUGACUUUUUUGUAGAUCUUAUUGAGAUACAUAUGUGUGUCAAUUUUUGUGUCAAUAUGACAAAGCGUACAGGCGUGACAGUCAAUAGUGUGAAUUUCCACCUUAGGGGGCGCUAUGGAGCCAUUUUGCAUUUUAUUGUUUGGGCGACUUCAGAAUAUCGAAUUUUUCACCAGGCCCGGUCGUCCUGCCAAAUUUCAUGAGUUUUCGCCAGUGGGAAGUGGGCCAUUUUCCAGUUCAAAGGGGAGGAAAAAGAAGAAAGAAAGAAAGAAAGAAAGAAAGAAAGAAAGAAACAAAGAAAAACCACUUGGGGAAUAAUAGGGCCUACGCCCGGCUGCUCUGCAGCUGGCUCGGGCCCUAAUAAUAAUAACAAAAGAAGGAAACUACAGGAACAAGAGGGCUCUCGCAGCUGCUUAGCAGCUACGCUCGGGCCCUAACUAGGACCCCGUUGGGGCACUGGCGGGCCCGAGCCGUGUCGCGUCUCCCCCCCAACGCGCUGCCUCCCCGUCCCAUUUGUGUCCUCUGGCCAUCGCCCUCUCUGUUAACGCCCAUCACUGCAAAGACCCUUUUCCUUCAUCGGCGUUUGCUGUUCUUCCUGCCAGUGCGUGUUGCUUUCACUUACACUUGCCACAGCCAGCCUCGUGAGUGCCUAGCCUAUUGGAUAUCACUGUCACCUACACAGGACAGUCAUUACCUUUCUAUUAAUACUUUGUGUUUUAAUUUCACAUUAAUUUCCAUAUUGUAUAAACGACUGGAAAAAACUUGAGCCCCUGCCCCUGUAUAAUCAUGUGCAUGUCUCUGUUCUAGCUCCAAGGUGAAUCUUCACUGCUCAUGUUCUCCUCAGAAG
RNAcentral lists this long non-coding RNA (7249 nucleotides) under Xyrichtys novacula (pearly razorfish). The record is from RNAcentral. Lineage: Eukaryota; Metazoa; Chordata; Actinopteri; Labriformes; Labridae.